This 1139-nucleotide ribosomal RNA is filed under the name Salmonella enterica. RNAcentral describes it as "bacterial SSU rRNA". It matches the Rfam family "Bacterial small subunit ribosomal RNA", at positions 1 to 1129 of the family's 1533-position model. The record is from RNAcentral. Lineage: Bacteria; Pseudomonadati; Pseudomonadota; Gammaproteobacteria; Enterobacterales; Enterobacteriaceae.
AAAUUGAAGAGUUUGAUCAUGGCUCAGAUUGAACGCUGGCGGCAGGCCUAACACAUGCAAGUCGAACGGUAACAGGAAGCAGCUUGCUGCUUCGCUGACGAGUGGCGGACGGGUGAGUAAUGUCUGGGAAACUGCCUGAUGGAGGGGGAUAACUACUGGAAACGGUGGCUAAUACCGCAUAACGUCGCAAGACCAAAGAGGGGGACCUUCGGGCCUCUUGCCAUCAGAUGUGCCCAGAUGGGAUUAGCUAGUUGGUGAGGUAACGGCUCACCAAGGCGACGAUCCCUAGCUGGUCUGAGAGGAUGACCAGCCACACUGGAACUGAGACACGGUCCAGACUCCUACGGGAGGCAGCAGUGGGGAAUAUUGCACAAUGGGCGCAAGCCUGAUGCAGCCAUGCCGCGUGUAUGAAGAAGGCCUUCGGGUUGUAAAGUACUUUCAGCGGGGAGGAAGGUGUUGUGGUUAAUAACCGCAGCAAUUGACGUUACCCGCAGAAGAAGCACCGGCUAACUCCGUGCCAGCAGCCGCGGUAAUACGGAGGGUGCAAGCGUUAAUCGGAAUUACUGGGCGUAAAGCGCACGCAGGCGGUCUGUCAAGUCGGAUGUGAAAUCCCCGGGCUCAACCUGGGAACUGCAUUCGAAACUGGCGGGCUUGAGUCUUGUAGAGGGGGGUAGAAUUCCAGGUGUAGCGGUGAAAUGCGUAGAGAUCUGGAGGAAUACCGGUGGCGAAGGCGGCCCCCUGGACAAAGACUGACGCUCAGGUGCGAAAGCGUGGGGAGCAAACAGGAUUAGAUACCCUGGUAGUCCACGCCGUAAACGAUGUCUACUUGGAGGUUGUGCCCUUGAGGCGUGGCUUCCGGAGCUAACGCGUUAAGUAGACCGCCUGGGGAGUACGGCCGCAAGGUUAAAACUCAAAUGAAUUGACGGGGGCCCGCACAAGCGGUGGAGCAUGUGGUUUAAUUCGAUGCAACGCGAAGAACCUUACCUGGUCUUGACAUCCACAGAACUUUCCAGAGAUGGAUUGGUGCCUUCGGGAACUGUGAGACAGGUGCUGCAUGGCUGUCGUCAGCUCGUGUUGUGAAAUGUUGGGUUAAGUCCCGCAACGAGCGCAACCCUUAUCCUUUGUUGCCAGCGGUUAGG